This 525-nucleotide long non-coding RNA is filed under the name Homo sapiens (human). Its description in RNAcentral is "HSALNT0138027". The record is from RNAcentral. Lineage: Eukaryota; Metazoa; Chordata; Mammalia; Primates; Hominidae.
UAUGUUUUCAGGAAUCCCCUUAACCUGCUCUCCUUUCCUGUGAAUUGACCUGACGCUCAUAUUUUUACUUAAAUUGACAUCUUUAAACUUCAGUAAAUGCAUUGUGUGCUUGGGAGUCCACUCAUUCUCUUCUCCUCAACUUAAAAAAUUCUAUCUGUUCUUCAAGAACUGGCUAUUCCAUGAAGCUGUCCGUGUUUGUUUUGGUUCUUGCUGAUCUAUUUCCCAGUUGUUCAAACUUUUCCAACACUUAAACAGUCUGCUGUAUAUUUAGACACUGAUUUUGUGUCAUUUGUGUCUUCAUUACUUAAUGGGUUCAUUAUGUAGAUUAUGACAGCAGAGAUCUCUUUCAAACCCUGUGCUUCCCCUUUUCUACUGCCCCCUUCCUUAUCAAGCCAAAUUGAAGCCUAACCCCAAGCCUCCUCUUUACUGGUGGCUUCAGGACCAGCCUGUAUCCUGAGGUUCUUUCUGGCCCUUACUGACUCUGAAGUCCUUUUCUAACCAAUUCCUGUCUGGUAAGGAGUUUAA